Molecule: ribosomal RNA, 497 nt
Filed under: uncultured bacterium
Lineage: Bacteria
Description: partial 16S ribosomal RNA
Rfam family: Bacterial small subunit ribosomal RNA
Source: RNAcentral
GAUGAACGCUGGCGGCGUGCCUAAUACAUGCAAGUCGAGCGAACGGACGAGAAGCUUGCUUCUCUGAUGUUAGCGGCGGACGGGUGAGUAACACGUGGAUAACCUACCUAUAAGACUGGGAUAACUUCGGGAAACCGGAGCUAAUACCGGAUGAUAUUUUGAACCGCAUGGUUCAAAAGUGAAAGACGGUCUUGCUGUCACUUAUAGAUGGAUCCGCGCUGCAUUAGCUAGUUGGUAAGGUAACGGCUUACCAAGGCAACGAUGCAUAGCCGACCUGAGAGGGUGAUCGGCCACACUGGAACUGGGACACGGUCCAGACGCCUACGGGAGGCAGCAGUAGGGAAUCUUCCGCAAUGGGCGAAAGCCUGACGGAGCAACGCCGCGUGAGUGAUGAAGGUCUUCGGAUCGUAAAGCUCUGUUAUUAGGGAAGAACAUAUGUGUAAGUAACUGUGCACAUCUUGACGGUACCUAAUCAGAAAGCCACGGCUAACUACGUG